UGGGGAAUAUUGGACAAUGGGGGGAAUCCUGAUCCAGCAAUGCCGCGUGAGUGAAGAAGGCCUUCGGGUUGUAAAGCUCUUUUGUCAGGGAAGAAACGGUAGUAGCGAAUAACUACUACUAAUGACGGUACCUGAAGAAUAAGCACCGGCUAACUACGUGCCAGCAGCCGCGGUAAUACGUAGGGUGCAAGCGUUAAUCGGAAUUACUGGGCGUAAAGCGUGCGCAGGCGGUUGUGUAAGUCAGAUGUGAAAUCCCCGGGCUCAACCUGGGAAUUGCAUUUGAGACUGCACGGCUAGAGUGUGUCAGAGGGGGGUAGAAUUCCACGUGUAGCAGUGAAAUGCGUAGAUAUGUGGAGGAAUACCGAUGGCGAAGGCAGCCCCCUGGGAUAACACUGACGCUCAUGCACGAAAGCGUGGGGAGCAAACAGGAUUAGAUACCCAAGUAGUCCCUGAGCGGGCUGGCAAGGCGCAU
Molecule: ribosomal RNA, 472 nt
Filed under: uncultured bacterium
Lineage: Bacteria
Description: bacterial SSU rRNA
Rfam family: Bacterial small subunit ribosomal RNA
Source: RNAcentral